AGUCUCUAUCCAUCUUGACUGCUUUAUCUAGACGUUCGUGCUCCGCUUGUCCGCCGAGGUAUCCUCCAGCUUUAGGGUUGCAAACGUCGUUUAUUUCAGGGUCACGACCUAGCUUCCUUUUGAGAAGCUUGAACAUCCAGUGCCUUUCGAAUAGAAUCUUAGGGACGCCAGAAAGUAGAAAGCCGCUCCCACGACUCUCUACUUUAGUGACGGCCUUUACACUGGCAACAUCGACUCCGAGAUCAUCGGCAGCCGAUUGGAAGUCUUGCUCAGUUAGAGCCAUUUUUGAUACUCCUGAAUUACAGGGUGGAAGUGAUAGCAAACCAGUUGAACGGGUAAGACCAGUUGCCCCAGUUGCAGCUAACUCUAAACCCGGUGUUGCUCCACAUAUCCGUCAUGAAAGCGCCCGGGCCGAUGGAGUUGUUAAACGUCCCCAUUACGGUCACUUGAACGUUCAAGAUUCGUGCUGGAACAGGGAGUUGGAUAUUCGUCCUUGUGUCAUCAGACAGACCGGGACCAGUUCCCCAUUGUAGCAGAAGGCCGUUUGGUAA
Molecule: small RNA, 551 nt
Filed under: Pseudomonas phage PAK_P4
Lineage: Duplodnaviria; Heunggongvirae; Uroviricota; Caudoviricetes; Vandenendeviridae
Description: putative antisense RNA
Source: RNAcentral